Molecule: long non-coding RNA, 2495 nt
Organism: Vicia villosa (hairy vetch)
Lineage: Eukaryota; Viridiplantae; Streptophyta; Magnoliopsida; Fabales; Fabaceae
Exons: 6
Source: RefSeq, a predicted model, not a curated record
UUUGUUUUAUCUGAGGCUAUUUCCUUCAUCCAUAUCUCAUUUAUAGCUUUUGCAUUCGCAAGUCUUUGCUUUUGUUUAGUGAUUUUUGACCAUUCAUAGCUUUUGCAGCUCGUGGUUAGUGUACGUUGAAAUAAUAGGAGAAGGUUUCAAAGAAGAGAGCACCGAUGAGCAAGAAACCGUAAGAUGACUAAAACGAAAUUAGGAUUGUGCUUGGCACACAUGCUUUUCGCACUUCUGUUAUCACAUUUUAGUCUGAUGGGAUGAAAGUUACGAUGUUACAUGAGGAUUUCCAUUCUGUUGGCACACAUGCUCUUCACACUUCUGUUGGCACACAUAUCUUAAGCUGUAGUAGUAGUUUUUUUAGUUAAUUUCAGAACUUUUGGUUAUCGGCUUGUUUUGCUUAAACCAGUUUCAAGAUUGUCGUUCAAUUUAUUAUGUGUCUUUAAAUAUUCUAAAGACUCUAUAUAGUAGUAGUUUUUUAGUUAAUUUCAGAACUUCACUAAUAACAGUAAUGGAAUGAAAAGAGAUGAAAGAUAUGCCUUGUUUCAAAAGGUAUGAUUUUAAUGAAGAUACAAAUGGUAGCUUCCAUGUUUCAUGAGUUUUAUUGCUUCCAAACCUAACAGACUAUUAGAUCAUGUUUUCAUUAUCUAUUCCCCUUAUGUUUAAACAAAGUUGAUGCAUUUUUCUGAUGCUUUUGCAUCUUUUUUAUCUUUCUAUCUGUUCUAAUAUUUCAGGCAACUAACUUUAUUCUGGCUUGCACUUGUUUGGAAAAUAGCUUUGAUGUUGUUUAAUCUCUAAUGUAUUUAGUAAAAAGGCUGAUUUGGGUGUAUUUGGUGAACCAGUUCCGUCAAUGCUUGUAUAGUGAGCUUAAAGCACGCGAUAAAAGAGAGAUGAAUACUUUCCACAUUUUUAAAUCUCUUGUUCAGUGGAGCCGUGUGAUAACGCCAAAAUACAAUAUUUGUUUCAUAAAGCUUGUGCUAAAAGAAUAUCUGAUAUAUCUAGUAAGAUUAGGAAAAAGGCGACAAAGCCGGAUUGGAUGGUUGAAAAUGUUUAAGCGUAAAUUCUUGAUGGGUGGAAAACGGAAGAAUUCAAAAACUUCUCUCAACAAAAUAAGACUAAUCGAGAAUCAACCAGAGGGAGAGCGGUCCAUACCACGGGACAUAAAGCUCAUCAUGAUGUUGCUAUAGAAUUGGAGAAGAAGUUAGGCUGACCACUAAAUCCGGACGAGUUCCUCAUGGCUAACCCCAAAAAGAAGAAUGGGCAAUGGGUUGACCGUCGUGCAGAGAAAACACAUGAAUGAUCUAUAUCAUGAUAGCUUUCAGUCCAACGAUGGAUUUCGUUAUACGAAUAUAUGUUAAAACAUGUGAAACAAUGAAAAUUAUGGUUUAUUGUGGUCUGCAUAAAUUGCGGAAAUAUCUCUAGUGCAAAAAGUACUUUUUACAUCGGGUCUUGGUCCGAUAUAAAUCCAGCGAUAUAGUAAAUCAGAGACAUUUUAUAUCGGGCCACGACCCGAUGUGAAAAAUUAACAUACCACAUCGGUUGAAUUCAGAUGUCUGAUGUGAAAAAUAAUUCAAUUUUUUCAUUAAAAAAUAUAUAUGCCAUAAUUUACAUCGGUGAAUUCGACGGACCGAUGUAAUAUAUAGUUUUUACAUCGGUUUUUCCAGUUUCCCGAUGUAAUAUAUAUGUUUUUACAUUUGUUUCCUCAAUGGUCCGAUGUAAUAUAUUUUCUUCUUUUAAGAGAAUUCUAGGUAUUUUUGCUGUAAUUUUUUUUGUACCUAAUUUUUCAUAUGUUUCCAAUACCACACAGACCAAAAUUAGGUCGCUAUUUUUCACAUUUUCCCACAUCACACAGACCACAUUUAGGUCACUAUUUUCAUAUUUUUCUAACAAGUGAAGGAUAAUUUCAUUGCACUAAAUAGCUAGGAUGCAUAUAUAUAUUCUUCAAAAUGAACAGUUGAUUUACAAAAGUAUUAAUCUAGGAUACACAAGUGUACAAAAUUAUAAAAACUUUACACACGGUGGACUACGGCAAAAUAACAAAACAACAAAUAUCCAACUAUUUAAGUACUUUCGCGCACUUGAAAUACCAACAUGCAUCCACGAGAAGACAAGUUGUAGCUUCUGAAGAUAACACCAAAAUUACUUUUGCUGACAAUAAACAAUAACACUAAUUAACAUCAGCAGACAACACCAAAGUCAAUAAACUCGAAUCAGAAAUAUAGACAAUUCCAUGUAACUCACCAGAUAAAGCUUAAUCUUUAUAUGACUCAAAGAAACAUUUUACCCAACGGAGUCGCAAAUCAUCUUGUGUUAAUUCUGUAGGGUCAUCAAAUACCUACAAUACGUAAAUAACAAUAUAGAGUUAUUCUUUAAAAAUUCACAUUAAGUUGCAAAACGCAAAGUAAAUAACAAAUUAAAGUUAUUUUAUUACCUGCAUCCAAGAUUCGGUUAUAUUGGCAAAGACAAUAUCCAACAUAUUUUUCAUCACAUAGUAC